RNAcentral lists this ribosomal RNA (348 nucleotides) under Pycnococcus provasolii. Its description in RNAcentral is "partial Bacterial large subunit ribosomal RNA". It matches the Rfam family "Bacterial large subunit ribosomal RNA", at positions 799 to 1140 of the family's 2925-position model. Lineage: Eukaryota; Viridiplantae; Chlorophyta; Pseudoscourfieldiophyceae; Pseudoscourfieldiales; Pycnococcaceae. The record is from RNAcentral.
UUGGGAUGACCUGUGGAUAGGGGUGAAAGGCCAAUCAAACUGAGAGAUAGCUCGUUCUCCCCGAAAUGUUUUUAGGAACAGCCUCGGAUUUAGAAGUAUGUUAGAGGUAGAGCUACUGAUUGGGCUAGGGGGCUUCACCGCCUACCAAACCCUGACAAACUCCGAAUGCUAACAGAUAUCUGCGGGAGUGAGGCUGCGGGUGCUAAGAUCCGUGGCCGAGAGGGAAAUAACCCAGAAUAGCAGCUAAGGUCCCUAAUAAGUAGUUAAGUUGAUCAAACGAGGUGAGACUUCUAUAACAGCCAGGAUGUUUGCUUGGAAGCAGCAAUUCAUUUAAAGAGUGCGUAACAG